RNAcentral lists this ribosomal RNA (427 nucleotides) under uncultured bacterium. RNAcentral's name for it is "partial 16S ribosomal RNA". It matches the Rfam family "Bacterial small subunit ribosomal RNA", at positions 355 to 774 of the family's 1533-position model. The record is from RNAcentral.
UGGGGAAUAUUGGACAAUGGGCGAAAGCCUGAUCCAGCCAUGCCGCGUGUGUGAAGAAGGUCUUCGGAUUGUAAAGCACUUUAAGUUGGGAGGAAGGGCAGUAAGCUAAUACCUUGCUGUUUUGACGUUACCGACAGAAUAAGCACCGGCUAACUCUGUGCCAGCAGCCGCGGUAAUACAGAGGGUGCAAGCGUUAAUCGGAAUUACUGGGCGUAAAGCGCGCGUAGGUGGUAUGUUAAGUUGGAUGUGAAAGCCCCGGGCUCAACCUGGGAACUGCAUCCAAAACUGGCAAGCUAGAGUACGGAAGAGGGUGGUGGAAUUUCCUGUGUAGCGGUGAAAUGCGUAGAUAUAGGAAGGAACACCAGUGGCGAAGGCGACCACCUGGACUGAUACUGACACUGAGGUGCGAAAGCGUGGGGAGCAAACA